UGGGGAAUAUUGGACACUGGGCGAAAGCCUGAUCCAGCCAUGCCGCGUGUGUGAAGAAGGUCUUCGGAUUGUAAAGCACUUUAAGUUGGGAGGAAGGGCAGUAAGCGAAUACCUUGCUGUUUUGACGUUACCGACAGAAUAAGCACCGGCUAACUCUGUGCCAGCAGCCGCGGUAAUACAGAGGGUGCAAGCGUUAAUCGGAAUUACUGGGCGUAAAGCGCGCGUAGGUGGUUCGUUAAGUUGAAUGUGAAAGCCCCGGGCUCAACCUGGGAACUGCAUCCGAAACUGGCGAGCUAGAGUAGGGCAGAGGGUGGUGGAAUUUCCUGUGUAGCGGUGAAAUGCGUAGAUAUAGGAAGGAACACCAGUGGCGAAGGCGACCACCUGGGCUCAUACUGACACUGAGGUGCGAAAGCGUGGGGAGCAAACAGG
Molecule: ribosomal RNA, 429 nt
Filed under: Pseudomonadota bacterium
Lineage: Bacteria; Pseudomonadati; Pseudomonadota
Description: Proteobacteria bacterium partial 16S ribosomal RNA
Rfam family: Bacterial small subunit ribosomal RNA
Source: RNAcentral